Long non-coding RNA from Bombus pascuorum, 1082 nucleotides. RefSeq lists it as uncharacterized. NCBI's taxonomy places the organism in Eukaryota, Metazoa, Arthropoda, Insecta, Hymenoptera, Apidae. The transcript is spliced from 2 exons. The record is from RefSeq and is a predicted model, not a curated record.
GAUUUAAUCAGUAUUCGAUAGUUCAUAGAUGACUCGCUAUAUUUGAUUGCAAUAGUAUGUAUACAUGUACAAUGUUGCCAUUUUUAAUCUUCUCGCGAGCGUGGGUUCCGAAUUAAGUGGAUAACCCCGCAAUCCCAAUUUAAAAUAUUAUGUUGCUCCACUUUAAGGAAUAUGAAUGUCUGCGCCAAUCAUUUUUUAUCCGAAAUGUUCAAAGCAAAUCCUACAAAAAAUACAAAUAGAAGGAAAAGGUUGAAGGAGAAUGCCGUGCCCGAACCAUCACAAUAUUUCUGUAAAAAAUAAAGAAGAAAAUUAGAUGUACAAGAAAGACAACUUGUAAUCUAAAAACAGCUGAUGAAAAAAGAAGAAGGGCAAGCCGAAGAAGGACAUCAACAUCACCACACCACUACCAACAACAGCAAGUGAACGUGGUUUAUUGGUGUAGAGGUAACACAUUUUUUUGGUGUUAAAAAUAAUAUUUUUUAAAACAUAAAUUUUAAUGAUUUCACAUCAGCUUCAUUGCUGUAUUAUUCCAGAGGUAAAUAUUAGUGAAUACUUUUGGAAAAAGUACAAUGUUCCAGUUUUAUUUCUAUUAAAUGCAUAAUAGUAUAUAUUCGUACAAGAAGAGGAAGACGAAUCAAGAAGAAGAGGAUGAAUCCCGACAUUUUCGCCUGAGAAGAGGACGCUUCGUUGCAGAAGGCGAAAAUGCUGUUUCCCGUUGAUUCUCUUAUUCAUAAGAUAAGGCAAUCAAUCACUGUGAAGUCAGCCUACAAAACAAUCGUGUUCCGAAUUCCACAUUUUCUGAAGAAUCAAUUCCUUCAAUUAUUCUGAAGGAGAGCUUUCCGUUAAAGCUGAAGAAGAUCCGCACUCGAGAAGACAUAAAAAAAAAAAGAGCGCAUGCAUGUAUCAAGGGUCAAGAGGAAGGGCGAAGAUCAGUUUAGAUUUUCUCAACGGCAGAAAUUUAUUUAUUUCCUUUAUUUUUUGUUAGUAAAUUAUUAUAUUCUAAAAGUUUGUACUAUUUCUAACUCUACUUUAUAUGUGUCAUCGUUCAAAAAUAUAGUAAACAAUUAAUUUCUUUUUCUUAA